Molecule: non-coding RNA, 495 nt
Filed under: Dryobates pubescens (Downy woodpecker)
Lineage: Eukaryota; Metazoa; Chordata; Aves; Piciformes; Picidae
Description: Picoides pubescens (downy woodpecker) Eukaryotic small subunit ribosomal RNA
Rfam family: Eukaryotic small subunit ribosomal RNA
Source: Rfam by way of RNAcentral
GCUCACCUAGUUAGAACAAGGUUGGUCAGAGAAACUGUAAGAAAACACUGCUAGCCGGAUUGUCCUUUCUGCUGGAACAGCUUCUGCUGAAAACAGUACUAUUAUUACUACUACUUACAAAAAGCAAACAACAACAACAAAAAAGAUAACUCUUUAGAGGUUGAUUCUUUUUUUCUGAAGAAACUCAAGUCUCCAAAGCUGGAUGGACAACAGAGCAUUCCAGCCAGUGAAAAUAGAACAGGACUCUGGAUUUUUUGUUGGCUUUUUGUUUUUUUGGAAGCAGGGUCAUGAUUAAAAGCAAUGGUUGGGGCAUUCUUAUUGUGCCAUUUGAACUGAAAUUCUUGCACCGCUGCAAGAUGAACUAAACCAAGAGUAUUUGCCAAGAAUGUUUUCGUUAACUGAGAACAAAAGCUGGAAGAUGUGAGCAACAUGCUAUCUGGUGGUGUUACUCCCAUCACUCUCCAGGCAGCUCACAGGACACCCAAGUCUUUGGGU